AACAUUGCGCCGAAAGAAUUUCGCGAGAGAAGCAACGGGGAAGACGAACGAAGUAUCAUCGCGUAAUACUGUUAAACGAGUCGAGUUCGCGAACUCGACUCGAAAUCAACGUUUUCCAACGCGAAGGACGACGAGGCGAUUUACCCACCC
Molecule: long non-coding RNA, 150 nt
Organism: Apis florea (little honeybee)
Lineage: Eukaryota; Metazoa; Arthropoda; Insecta; Hymenoptera; Apidae
Source: RefSeq, a predicted model, not a curated record